Molecule: non-coding RNA, 74 nt
Organism: Gymnothorax javanicus (giant moray)
Lineage: Eukaryota; Metazoa; Chordata; Actinopteri; Anguilliformes; Muraenidae
Source: the annotation of a GenBank genome assembly
GAUGUGGCGGCAUAGUGGUUCAGUGCGCUUGACCUGUGAUAAAAAGGUCCUGAGUUCAAGUCCUUGCCAUGGCU